AAAAUGGGGGAUUGCCUCAUUUCUUGACAAAAAAACUUGUGGGAAAUAUCUUGACAAAAAAUUCCUUUGGCAAACAGACAACAACGCACCGGAAAGAAGCCACAUCCUCAGGCAGGCAUGGGCAUGAAUUGUGAGUGAAAGGUCCCCUUAAAAAGAAAGGGACUGAGCCAAGGUGAAAUUGUCGAAGCAAGAAAAGGGAAAUAGGCAGAGAAUUGGAGAGAGCCUUGAUAAUUAUUCUGAUAUUAUAAUGCUUCUUAACCAGUGAGGUAUCUGUUGCUGCACUUUCUAACUGGUUCGGCUGUGCGCUGGGUGGUCGACAAAGGCAGGGAGGGAGGAAAUGCAAAGAAGAGCAUCAUGGGAUGCUCUACCCAGCACAUCCCUAGUGGAGAUAUUUUGCAGAACCCCCAUCAAAGAUCGCUUUUGCAGCCUCCCUCUGGUAUGCAGAUCGUGGGCCGACGUUUCUCGCAACCCUCGGUGCUGGGCUUCUAUGAUCCCGGCCGAACACUCAUCAUCUGCUUGUGCUUUUGAUGAUGCCUUCAUCAAACAUUCUUCUUCUUCUUCUUCUUAUAGUCGUCUUGACAGCCUCGCUUUUGACGACCCUUUUGACGGGCGGCGCAGCCCCGAUUCCGACCGCGGACUUGCUAUGCUCCGGUCACUGAUUACCAGAGGGGCUGGCGGAGCUGCCGUUACUUCUCUCUAUUUCUUCCCUUUUCUUACUUGUGUCGAGGCUUUCCGUCCCAAUGAUGACGCCCUCCUUCGUCUCAUUGCACAAAGUUGCCCAAACUUGAGACACCUUUCUUUUCAUGGAUCCUACAAUGCAACUGAGGGAGCAAUUUUGGAAGUAAUGAGCAAAUGCCCAAAACUAGAGCUUAUUGACUUCUCCGACUCCCCAUACUUCACUCCUACAGUUUUAGAACACAUGAGCACUUGCUGUCCCGAUGUUAGGGGGAUUAGAAGAAAUGGAUUCUGCUCUUGCUGUAGGCUUUCCAAAUUUGAGGAUCUUGAAUCUCUCUGGUUCAACUAUUGUUGAUAAAGAUCUACUAACUAUCAUGACUGCAAGAAUUGGGAUUCAGUACCUAGACAUUACCAAUUGCCAGCAGUUGAAGUGUUACAUGCACAUCAUAAAGCGAGCCCCUGUUCAGAUAUCCCAAAUCCUGUUUGAUUGAGAUUCAAGAAUUGAUUACUACCAGCUAUUGAACCUUGCGAGUGCCUGCUUGUAUAACCUUCAAAAUGGUGAGUUUACCAGAAUAGAACUCCAGACUCCAGAGUCGUGUGUGGUUGUUUUCUUCCUUGGCAAUGACUUGCUGUCACAUAAAAAAAAUGCAAGUUGCUGACUUUCAUGGGAUUGGGCUCUUCUCGUAAAUGAUGGUGAAGAGGAGCAAAUAGCUUAUUCCAAUUGCCGUGCCAGGACAGACAGCCAGUUUGUUCCACAGAGCACUUUUGAAGUUUUAGUCUUUGGGCGGCGUUAUUGCCGGAAUAAUUUUGCUCAACAAGACAAAUGGUCAGGGCUCCCCCAAUCAAACCAAUUACCGCUGGAACCCAGUUGCCCUUAUAUUUAACCAUCUUCUUGCCCGACAAAUCAAGAAUCUCACGCCAGCAACUCCACCAAUUACAAUCUCAUAUUUGUCCAAAGAUGAUGGUGCAAGGUGCAAGGUGCAAGGUCGUGGAAUUUGGAACAUUGAACAUCACAAAUUGUCACGCUGCCUGAAGUGUCCACCUCAUAUGACUUACCAUCAUCAUGGGUACGAAUCUUAAAAGGGGAAUAUCCUAGCUUGCAAAAUUUCAAUUGGAACAUGUAGCAGAUACAUUCUUGGCCAAGACGGAACGUGCUGAGGUUGGGUCAAAGAAAGGUGGCGGAAUCUUAUUUUUAAUGGAUAUUGAGGGAGUCACGAGCCUGCUUGUGGACACAAUCCAUGGGCGAAUUAUUGAGCCUUCGAAGGAGAAGCUGGUUAUAUAUAUGAUGGAUUCACGAGAUGGAUCCGCCCUGCGCAUCCUUUUAAGGUGCAGAAUUUCUAAUCGUAUCUUUGAUUUGAUAAUGGAUGGUGAUAGCUAUCGAAAUAUCUCAUCUCUAGCACCAUAUGAAUGGCUAUAACUAUUUGGAAUGGUACACUUUCGCUGCCGCGUCACCGCCCCUGUGACCAAAAGUACAAGGGGAGGCUCAAUUGAACUUACAAGAAACAAGUGGAGACUGAACCACUAUCGGAUCAGACGGGUGCACUACGCACCCAUCUGAACAUUUUAGAAGAGUCUCUUAUUGUGACAAUUGAUGGAAAGUAAGGUUCGAAACCUUGACCUCCCAGACUUGUGGUUAUCAUAUAUUAUCUCUAGCACCAUAGGAAAUUUGUUAAAAUUGACUGUUGAAGAGCAUUCCAAAUCUCAUAGGAUUGGUUGGAUAAAAGGGAUAGAAUUUGUUGAGGU
RNA transcript from Coffea arabica (coffee), 2418 nucleotides. It is a transcript of the gene named putative F-box/LRR-repeat protein 23, with no coding region annotated. Lineage: Eukaryota; Viridiplantae; Streptophyta; Magnoliopsida; Gentianales; Rubiaceae. The record is from RefSeq and is a predicted model, not a curated record.